UACGUAGGGGGCUAGCGUUGUCCGGAAUCAUUGGGCGUAAAGCGCGUGUAGGCGGCCCGGUAAGUCCGCUGUGAAAGUCGGGGGCUCAACCCUCGAAUGCCGGUGGAUACUGUCGGGCUCGAGUGCGGAAGAGGCGAGUGGAAUUCCUGGUGUAGCGGUGAAAUGCGUAGAUAUCAGGAGGAACACCGGUGGCGAAGGCGCACAUCUGGCCCGAUACUGACGCUGAGGCGCGAAAGCUAGGGGAGCAAACGGG
RNAcentral lists this ribosomal RNA (253 nucleotides) under uncultured bacterium. Its description in RNAcentral is "partial 16S ribosomal RNA". It matches the Rfam family "Bacterial small subunit ribosomal RNA", at positions 524 to 776 of the family's 1533-position model. The record is from RNAcentral.